CCAUCCUCCACUGCACUCCCGGGCCACAGCAGAGAGCUGGUCUGGAAGAGGGGCAACUGGGACAGAAUCCGGUGCCCCGACCGGGACUAGAACCCGGUGUGCCGGUGCCGCAAGGCGGAGAAUUAGCCUAGUGAGCCACGGUGCAGGCCUACAAAUUGUUUUAAAGUCACAGAAAAUUGAACAAUUGCUGUAAAUUUCUGGAUUGGUCUCCCCUCUCCCCCCAAAAAAAAUGAUCUGUGGAAAUCCAUUUACCUCAAUGCCUUCGUGCAGUUAAAGGUUACUUAUAUUAUAAAUUAUCUUUAACAUGCUAAAUGUAGACAGUUUCUAUGUCACGGCUCUGAACCAUCCCAUUCAAGAGAAAAUAUUUGAGUAGAGUCCUCUGUACUCCCAGUAUACCAGGCGCCUUAUCAAGUGUCCACUUAAGUCAGCAUAAGUGUACCUUUUUGUAGGUCUGACUCCAGAUAAAUUAUCAGGCGAGCACAUAAAUAGCAGAAAUACUAGGUACUUUUUCAAGCUAUCAAUGAAAUCCCAUUAUUAUUCUUUUUAAUCCUAGCCUUUACUGCAACAAGCAUUUUAUGCUCGGUGCAUACACUUGGUGUAGGAUUUAAUUUAGAAAGGUAAAUUACAGUCUGUAUGUAUUAUUUGAGAAACAUUUGGCUUCAAUUACUAGGGAACAACUUAAUGCAGUAGCUUUUAUCUGGAGUAUGUACGUUUGGAUUUUAUGAAGUAAUUUUAUAGUUUUGAUGUAACAAAAAAACAAAGACUUCCUUCAAGUGACAUGAUUAAAAGGACUCUGUGAUCUGCUAUUCGUCAGUGCCUGACUGGUGGAUUUCUGUUUGUUUUUCAUGUUAACAGAACCCUGACACUCUGCUAUUGUUUAGUGAGAAGAGCCAUUGCUCUUGAGUUCCUUUGCUGUGACGUGGAAUUCAAAAUCUUUGAGGCCUUGAAUGGAUGUGAAAUGGAAAUCAGUGUCACCAAGUGUGUGUUCUCAAAAUUAAGAUGAAUCUAGGAGAUCCUCUUUUUUGGCCUCUGCAUGUCUUGCUAUUUGAGGAGCAAGGUCAACUAUAAAUAGAAAAACUUAGAAGCUUGUUUGAAGGUGAACAAAUGAAUACUUCCUAGAGAAAUGGUUUAAUUUUUUUCAUGUGAUCACAUUCCAGAGAUUCAUUAAACUGUAUUUGUUGGAAAAAACUAUGAAUUAUUUUAAAUUUUCACUUUUGCACUAAAGUCCUUAACUUCUUGCCCUGUUUUUUUAAUCUGUUGUAUAGUUUGACAGCCAAUGCAAUUUGUUCAGAUUUUCUUAACAAUUGAGUGCUUUAUUAAUAAUAAAACAAACUUUCAGUUGUGCAACAACUAUUUCCACAUGUUGUCCACAAAAACUAAAAAUCAAUCUUACAACAGACUAUUACUUUCCAGAUUAGGGAAAAUUGAUGGUUGCGGUUUUUUCUUAUCAAGUGUCUCUGGUAGCGUCUCCUUUGUGAGGGUACUUUGGUUUUACUAAGUAAGUAAUGGAAAGACAAUUCCUGGCUGCCUUUCUGAAGUGCACUAUGACCUAACAAAAGGCCACUGUGUCAUCUGUCGUUUGUGAGCAUAGGACUUCAUCAGUUACUCCCACCGACAAGGGAAAGGAGGGUUGGGACCACAGAAACAUUUUCAGAAAAACUUCUCAUCCUGAGGUUCAAUCAUUGUAUGAUAGCAUGGGAGGCGAAGCUGUGUGGCUUAUGUGAGAGCCCACAGGCAGAAGAAACCUAAGGAAAGCCCUUCUGUUACUCAGCAACAGAACUGAGACCCCACCAGCACCAACAGCGAAGAAAUUGACUUUACAUGUUGUUGUAAAUAACAUAGGCAGAGGUAUGGCUACUUUCAGAUGAGGCUAAUCUGGCACUGCCAUGAUAUUUAAGACCUGUUUUUUUUUUUUUUCCUCCAACCCCUGAGUUACAAAUUCCACAACUCAGCUUCAUCUGAUGCCUAUUUCUGGGAACCUAAGAUGACUUCCAGCAGCUCCCUGUGCAAUCUGUGCGCAUCACCAAAAAGAAGUUUUAGAUCUGGUUUGUUCAAACAAGGAUCCCACACAUGGCUUGAGAGGAAACCGUGCCCUAAACCACCACACAAAGCUGUCUCGAGGCGUCCUCUGAUCCUUAGGAGGAGAACUCACAGGAUUGCAUUCCUCCCGCAUCCCGAUCUGGUGCAGUGGCAGCUCCACGAUCCUAGUAGCAGCACGUGAAAGGGCAGAGCAGCAGGGAUUUAACAGAGAACCGUAAGUGGAAAGAGCCAAGAAGAACCCUCCUCAGACAGCCUUCAAGGUAGGAGCCAACAGGAGUCAUCAGAGCAGGACCACGGGGAGACAUGAAGCACUCCCCAAGCAAUGCGUGAACCUGGCGAGCCAGGAAGGAAGCCUCACUGGGACUGAGUACUCUAACCCAAUCUCCGGGCAAACACUGAGUGGAGAGUAAACAUCCCCACCCCAGAACAAUGACGAGGAACCUAGGCUUCAAAAUAAAAUGAGGUGGGCACUUGGUGUAUUUGUUAAGAUACUGCUUGGAAUGAGUGCCUGGGUCCAAUUCCUGGCACUGCUCUUCUCUCUUCCCACCAAUGCAGACUUUGGGAGGUAACAGUGUUGGUUCCAGAUCUAGGGAGAUCUCAGUUGCAUUCUUAGUUACGGGCUUCAGAUUGACCCAGGCCUGGCUCCUGUGAGACCUUCAGGAUAAACCAGUGGAUGUGACUUGGUUCAUUCUCCCCCCACACACAUACUUCAAAUGAGGAAAACACCACAAUAUGCACCCCUGACUAUCCAGAAAAAUCUGUGUAUGUCCAACACUGUGCUCUCUCAGGAAUGACUGGAGAGGGAAAAUCCAGAUUUCUCUUCCCUGGCAGAAUGCAAAUCAAUAAUGUUAACUCUGUGCUGCAACAGUCAUGUGAAAGCCAUGCAACCAUGCAAGAGUAAAUUAUGAACUUCUAACCAGCUAAGCUGGCAUCAACACAGCCUUUGGCCAACCAGUGACUUGUGUUGACUAUAAGGCAAGCUCCAGAUAGCCAGGUCAGAGAAAAGGACAACAUCUGGGCUGGGGCCUCAAAAACUGCAGAGUGCAGGGGACAUGCAUGUCACAGCAUUCCACAAGUCUCUACAUCAACAACUGACCAGCAUGCAACAUAAACUCAGCUGCGGAAACCAGGGUGUACAGGGCCACAAAAAAUAAUUUUCACUAGAAAAUAAUGAGAUAUUUAUAUGCAUAUGUGUUUUACAAAUAUUUCUUUAAAACUAAAGGAAACCACGCAAAAAGAAUUACAGACAGUUUUUAUAUUGAUCUUCUCUACUUGAUGAGGCAUUGUUAAUGAGAUGGAAAUUGUAAAAGCAAUCAAACACAAAUUUGAGCUGCAAACGAAUCAUUGAGUAAAGAUGGGAUACCAUUAAGUAUAGCAAUAAACAUAUAAACAGAAUUCCAGGGUGAUGAGGAGACAAAGAAGCAUAAAAAAUGUUUGAAGAGAUAAAGGCUUAAAACUCCCCACAUUAUGGGGCCAGAAUUGUGUCAUAUUGGGUCAAGUUGCUGCCUACAAUGCCGGCAUCCCAUAUGGGCACUGUUUUAACUCCCAGCUGUCAAACUUCCAAGCCUGCUCCCAGGUAACACUGAAAGAUGACCUAAGUCCUUGGGCCCCUACAUGCACAUAGGAGACCAAGACAAAGUUCUUGGCUGACGGUUUCAGCCUGGCCCAUUGUGGCUAUCUGGGGAGUGAACUAGAAGAUGGAAGAUCUCUGUCUCUCCCUCUUUUUCUGCAACUCUGGCUUUCAAAUAAAUAAAUCCAUCCCCCAAAUAUCACCAAAUUUGAUGAAAAACCUCAAUCUAUCUCCCUGUGCAAGAUCAAUGAAGUACAGGUAGGAUAAAAUCAAAUAGAACAUCCUGAAAUCAGUUUGAGAGUACAAAAAAUCAUCAUUUAAAAGCAAACCUUAGGUUGGAAUUUGAAGACAUUGCUGUUACUGCUAAGAGACAUGGGAUUUUCUUCUGGGUAAUCAAAUUAUUUGAGAUGUAGCUUGUGGGGAUGCUUUUCCUAGUCUAUGAAUAAUCUAGAAACCACAAAACUGUGCACUUUAAAUAGGUGACUUUAUAACAUCUAAGUUAUAUCUUUUAAAAGGCAAACCUCAAGAAAACAGUACUUAGAAUUGGAAAAAAAAAUAAGGCUCAAGAUAGAGAAAAUGGGCAAGAGAUGGUAUUUUAAAAGAUACUAACAGAUAAUUACACUCAUCUUCAGACUGUGAAAUCUCAUUGUACUUCAACAAAUAUAAAAACACAGUAAAUGCUUACACUGUAGCAAGACUACAGAACAUCAACAAAAAUGAUAACAUUUUAUUUGACUUACUAGCGAAAAGAGGAAAAGACAGAUCAUUUACUAAGUACUGGUAAACUGCUCAAUUACUUACAGCAGUAAAAAUCCAAAGUGUGAAUUUCUAAGAAAUUAUAGGAAUUUAAAAAUUAAAACCAGAAGAUAAUGAAAUCUUAAUGUUGAGUUUAGGUAAUUUGAUUUUUGAAAGAAAUUUAAAGCUUAAAAUUAUUGAAGGGUAGGAAGAAAUACUAACAUAAUGAAUUGUUUCUCAAUGACAUGCUUAUGUGCAUUGGUGUGCCACAAAUUGGCUUCAAGUUUUCCACAGAUAUCACUGGUUUUAAUAUGCUUUUGUUAAUAAAAAUAAUGCAAUGAGUUUGACAUUCAAACCUACAUAUUCCAAAGGGGAGACUGACAACAAAUUGACUACAAAGAGGUAAUCCCUAAACCCUUGGAAUACCUUUGGGUUAUGAACAUCUCUGAUCCCAGUGAUGGUAGAUAACUUUAUCAGCCAACUCCAAGGUAGGAGUGAGGACAUAUCCUGCAAAUCUGAAGGAAUUCUCUGGAAAGAGAAGGAAUGGUCUUUGCACAGCUGGGUCUGUGAAUACCACGGUAGCAGUAUAGCGUCUGGGCAUGGCUAGAAAUUCUACUGCAAAGGUCAGAUACACAGGGUGUCCAUGCCUAUGUGAUUGGCCCUUGUCAGAAACCUGGAACCCCAA
Molecule: non-coding RNA, 5030 nt
Organism: Oryctolagus cuniculus (rabbit)
Lineage: Eukaryota; Metazoa; Chordata; Mammalia; Lagomorpha; Leporidae
Source: RefSeq, a predicted model, not a curated record